RNAcentral lists this unclassified non-coding RNA (331 nucleotides) under uncultured Agaricomycetes. RNAcentral describes it as "sequence contains ITS2". The record is from RNAcentral. Lineage: Eukaryota; Fungi; Basidiomycota; Agaricomycetes.
AACGCACCUUGCACCUCUUGGUAUUCUGAGAGGUACACCUGUUUGAGUGUCAUUAAUCUCUCCACUCUUAUACAUUAUGUUUAGUGCAUGAAUAAGAGCUGGGAUAUUGGGGGUCAUUUUAUGCAGUUUGACACUUCAAUCUGCUCCCCUUGAACACAUUAGCAAAGUCUGUAUAGCUGCUGUAAUAGGUGUGUUAGUUGUUCAAACAAAUCACCUUUUUUUAGUAGACAUUGAGUUGCUUUGCUUCAAGUCGUGCUGUUAAUUGAGCACAAUUAGCUUUGGCUUUUGAAAUCAUGACCUCAAAUCAGGUGGGACUACCCGCUGAACUUAA